RNAcentral lists this ribosomal RNA (250 nucleotides) under uncultured bacterium. RNAcentral's name for it is "partial 16S ribosomal RNA". It matches the Rfam family "Bacterial small subunit ribosomal RNA", at positions 100 to 354 of the family's 1533-position model. The record is from RNAcentral.
CGGAGUGAGUAACGCGUGGGCAACCUGGCCUGUACAGGGGAUAACACUUAGAAAUAGGUGCUAAUACCGCAUAACGGGAGAAGCCGCAUGGCUUUUUCCUGAAAACUCCGGUGGUACAGGAUGGGCCCGCGUCUGAUUAGCCAGUUGGCAGGGUAACGGCCUACCAAAGCGACGAUCAGUAGCCGGCCUGAGAGGGCGGACGGCCACACUGGGACUGAGACACGGCCCAGACUCCUACGGGAGGCAGCAG